Molecule: ribosomal RNA, 500 nt
Filed under: uncultured bacterium
Lineage: Bacteria
Description: partial 16S ribosomal RNA
Rfam family: Bacterial small subunit ribosomal RNA
Source: RNAcentral
AUUGAACGCUGGCGGCAUGCCUUACACAUGCAAGUCGAACGGCAGCACGGGAGCAAUCCUGGUGGCGAGUGGCGAACGGGUGAGUAAUAUAUCGGAACGUGCCCAGUCGUGGGGGAUAACGUAGCGAAAGCUACGCUAAUACCGCAUACGAUCUACGGAUGAAAGCGGGGGAUCGCAAGACCUCGCGCGAUUGGAGCGGCCGAUAUCAGAUUAGAUAGUUGGUGGGGUAAAGGCUCACCACGCCGACGAUAUGUAGCUGAUCUGAGAGGACGACCAGCCACACUGGGACUGAGACACGGCCCAGACUCCUCCGGGAGGCAGCAGUGGGGAAUUUUGGACAAUGGGCGCAAGCCUGAUCCAGCAAUGCCGCGUGCAGGAUGAAGGCCUUCGGUUUGUAAACUGCUUUUGUACGGAACGAAACGGCGAGCUCUAAUACAGUUUGCUAAUGACGGUACCGUAAGAAUAAGCACCGGCUAACUACGUGCCAGCAGCCGCCGUAA